Mauremys reevesii (Reeves's turtle) is the source of this 519-nucleotide long non-coding RNA. RefSeq lists it as uncharacterized. The record is from RefSeq and is a predicted model, not a curated record. Lineage: Eukaryota; Metazoa; Chordata; Testudines; Geoemydidae. The transcript has 3 exons.
GGAUAAGAGCAGGAAACUGUAAGGACAGAAUAGGGAGUAGUAAGGGCUGAAAGAGUAAAAGCCCAGAGCUGUUAAGAUCAGGGUCCCUGGACUGGAACCUGGUGUAGAGGGCAGCUCUGGGUUCCUCUAUCAGCCACUGUGGGAGUGAUACACUAAGGACAGCUAGAAGCAGACUUUGAGGAUACCCUGGAAGUGGGGAGAACUUUAAUGGAACUUGGCCAGAGGACUAAGCUGUGAAGAAGCAAGUGGUGCAGAUCCCAGAAUAAGCCAGGGGAAUGAUGGGCUGAGUAACUGCAGAAGAGGGCAUCAGAAUAAGAGGGCACCAGUGGGUUGCAGAGCUAGCUCCCCAGAUGUGCCACAAGGAGGUACUGCUGAUUGGUGAUGCCUUCAUUUCAUCAAAAUCUGUCACCCCAUGAAAAGUGGGUUUGUCUUUGAGGAAGGGAUGGGCUGAAUUUACCAGUAAAAGGAGAAGAAAGUGGAGGAGAUAGAAACAAGAGGACUGUAACCAUAGCUCUGCAU